Molecule: non-coding RNA, 30 nt
Filed under: Homo sapiens (human)
Lineage: Eukaryota; Metazoa; Chordata; Mammalia; Primates; Hominidae
Source: RNAcentral
UGGGCUUAGGAGCACUUUAAAAUUUGUGGU